UUUCCAGAGAUGGAUUGGUGCCUUCGGGAACUGUGAGACAGGUGCUGCAUGGCUGUCGUCAGCUCGUGUUGUGAAAUGUUGGGUUAAGUCCCGCAACGAGCGCAACCCUUAUCCUUUGUUGCCAGCGGUUAGGCCGGGAACUCAAAGGAGACUGCCAGUGAUAAACUGGAGGAAGGUGGGGAUGACGUCAAGUCAUCAUGGCCCUUACGACCAGGGCUACACACGUGCUACAAUGGCGCAUACAAAGAGAAGCGACCUCGCGAGAGCAAGCGGACCUCAUAAAGUGCGUCGUAGUCCGGAUUGGAGUCUGCAACUCGACUCCAUGAAGUCGGAAUCGCUAGUAAUCGUGGAUCAGAAUGCCACGGUGAAUACGUUCCCGGGCCUUGUACACACCGCCCGUCACACCAUGGGAGUGGGUUGCAAAAGAAGUAGGUAGCUUAACCUUCGGGAGGGCGCUUACCACUUUGUGAUUCAUGACUGGGGUGAAGUCGUAACAAGGUAACCGUAGGGGAACCUGCGGUUGGAUCACCUCCUUACCUUAAAGAA
RNAcentral lists this ribosomal RNA (546 nucleotides) under Salmonella enterica. RNAcentral's name for it is "bacterial SSU rRNA". It matches the Rfam family "Bacterial small subunit ribosomal RNA", at positions 997 to 1533 of the family's 1533-position model. RNAcentral also lists the same sequence under 1 other name. Lineage: Bacteria; Pseudomonadati; Pseudomonadota; Gammaproteobacteria; Enterobacterales; Enterobacteriaceae. The record is from RNAcentral.